UACGUAGGGUGCGAGCGUUGUCCGGAAUUAUUGGGCGUAAAGGGCUCGUAGGCGGUUUGUCGCGUCGGGAGUGAAAACUCAGGGCUUAACCCUGAGCCUGCUUCCGAUACGGGCAGACUAGAGGUAUGCAGGGGAGAACGGAAUUCCUGGUGUAGCGGUGAAAUGCGCAGAUAUCAGGAGGAACACCGGUGGCGAAGGCGGUUCUCUGGGCCGGUACUGACACUGAGGAGCGAAAGCGUGGGUAGCAAACAGG
Molecule: ribosomal RNA, 253 nt
Filed under: uncultured bacterium
Lineage: Bacteria
Description: partial 16S ribosomal RNA
Rfam family: Bacterial small subunit ribosomal RNA
Source: RNAcentral